UGAGCCAUUGACCUUUUUGGAUAGUGCAGCAUUUUUCCUCUGUCCCUGCUGUAUUGGCUGGACCUCUGAGAACCCUGCUCUCCUUCAAUACCUGCUCUCCUUCCUCUUUAGCAUGCAUGAACAGCGGAGAGCUAUGAGAAAGUGGCGCAGGACGAGGGUUAUCGUAUCAGUUCUUAUGCAUUUCUCAAACUUCAGUCAACAUCAGAGCCGUAUUAUGUGGGAGUGUCAAAACAGACUCCGAGGCCUCGGACCCAGAAGAUGAGGAAAUAGCAUUUCAGAGAGGUUACCUGACUUGCUGAGAUUUACCCGAAUGUUGAAUGGCAGGGCUUGAGCUCAGCUUGAAAUCUGGCCCUCAUCCCCUGACUGUGAGCCACCUCAGCUUCAUGGGGUUAGAUUUGGAUGGGAGAACUACAGACCCUACACACAUAUUGCUGGUGGGUGACAGCUGGGGACGUCAUCCUUGUGUAUGGAAGAAGAGCUUGACAGACAUAGACAGACAGGCGAACGUACCCACAUGCCCACACACAUGGACUCUCAGUUCCUAAAACCUGGAUAAUUACGGAGUUUCAAAAAUAAUAUCUACUUCAGUGAUGGCCAUUGCUUCCAGUCAAUAUGGUGGCCACACCUUCUUAGCAACCCCUGCAGACGAACCUUGGUGCCCUAGGAGGAGCGUACCAGGAGCAAGUUACGAGGCCCUUCCCUGGAACGCAGACCAACAUGGCUACUGGCUUAAUGAGCCACACCCCUGCAGGCGCACAGAGCAACUGCCCUAGAAUCUACUGGAUCUGCAAGGCUCAUUCUUCUGGAUCUCAGAUGCCAUGGCUUGCUCUACCAAACCACUGUUACGGAAACAAAUAAAUAAUUUUCCUGAAAAGAACAACUCAUAGUCAUACAGAUUGAAAAGCAUAUCAUUUAUGGAUGCUGGCUCUCAGAAUGCAGCUGCCAUGUUGUGAGGAAGUUCAAGUCAACCCAGGUGGAGAGAGACCAUGUGGAGAGGUCAGCGAUGGAGUUUCAGCAGACAGCUCAGCUGAGGUCCUGGCUGACAACCCAUACCAUCUGCCAGCCAGGAGUGAAUAUGCUUCCAGAUGUGAAAUAAAUACAUAAUUAUUUAAAAAAAAUAUUCAGGGUAUGACGAGUGUCAGGU
This is a long non-coding RNA of Tupaia belangeri chinensis (Chinese tree shrew), 1144 nucleotides long. RefSeq lists it as uncharacterized. The record is from RefSeq and is a predicted model, not a curated record. The transcript is spliced from 6 exons. NCBI's taxonomy places the organism in Eukaryota, Metazoa, Chordata, Mammalia, Scandentia, Tupaiidae.